AGUGAACGCUGGCGGUAGGCCUAACACAUGCAAGUCGAACGGCAGCACAGUAAGAGCUUGCUCUUACGGGUGGCGAGUGGCGGACGGGUGAGGAAUACAUCGGAAUCUACUUUUUCGUGGGGGAUAACGUAGGGAAACUUACGCUAAUACCGCAUACGACCUACGGGUGAAAGCAGGGGAUCUUCGGACUUUGCGCGAUUGAAUGAGCCGAUGUCGGAUUAGCUAGUUGGCGGGGUAAAGGCCCACCAAGGCGACGAUCCGUAGCUGGUCUGAGAGGAUGAUCGGCCACACUGGAACUGAGACACGGUCCAGACUCCUACGGGAGGCAGCAGUGGGGAAUAUUGGGCAAUGGGCGCAAGCCUGAUCCAGCCAUACCGCGUGAGUGAAGAAGGCCUUCGGGUUGUAAAGCCCUGUUGUUAGGAAAGAACAGCAGCGUGUGAAUACGCGGCUACUCUGACGGUACCCAAAGAAAAAGCACCGGCUAACUUCGUG
RNAcentral lists this ribosomal RNA (492 nucleotides) under uncultured bacterium. RNAcentral describes it as "partial 16S ribosomal RNA". It matches the Rfam family "Bacterial small subunit ribosomal RNA", at positions 29 to 507 of the family's 1533-position model. The record is from RNAcentral.